AUAAACUUAAGCAAAUGAAACAAGAGUUGGGUCUGCUUUGUUGCGUGGACAUGUGUUUGAUAGUCCACAGUAUAGAGGACCAAUAAAUUCAACAAUUGUUUGAUAAGCAACACACUGACUCAAUGGUGCUCAAAAAAAAAAAAAAAACACACUGACUCAAUUAUUUAUGUGUAAUGGCUAUAAUGUCCUUGUUAAUUAUAUGAAAUUCACAAACCCCAUACGAUUCUCUCUCUCUCUCUCUCCCUCACUAUAUGAUUUUCUCUCUCUCUCUCACUCUUCCUAUCAGUGUAUCGCUGUGAUAGGCUCCGGCGCGGCUGUGUCCGACUGACGCCGCCUCUCGUCCGUUCCUCCCUUCUCGAUGCGUCGCUCAAUUUCUCAACCCUCAAACCUUGUUGUUGUUGUGUGUGUGGGAGUUUUGGGAGCAAUUGUUGUUGUUCUUGGUGAGUUCAGUCGGGGCUUGGAGGAGUAUGAAGUAGGGGAGAGCGGCGGUGGUGGUGGCUAUUGCUAUCUGACCGAAGGGGGGCGGCGAUUCUCGUUGUUCGCCGUUUGAAAUAGAGGGGGAGAUGGGGCUAUUGACGGUGAGAAUCGCGAAGGCGACGACGAUCUUGUUGACUGUUGGCGGUUCAGUGAGGGGAAAAGAGGGAGGUGUGGGCAGUGGAGAUCCAAAGACCUCUGCUAAUUGACGAUGGCAGAGCAACGGUGACGGUGAAUUCAUGUCGAGCUACCCAUUGUCACUAUUGUCCAUCCGACGGUAAGAAAUAGAGGGAGAUCAGUGGUGGCGGCUUUCGCUGCUGUUCGCCAGAGUGGAGUAGGACCUUAGGGACUAGGGAUUUAGAGGGAGGCGGUGGCGACUUAUAACCGUCGCCAAGGGAGAAAUCGACGCUGAGAGCUCUGUCGACCUAUAAAAGAUGAUAGAGAGAGAGGGAAGUCGAGGGAGAAGGGGACGACUGGUGGCUGCUCUUGCCCGGAAGCGAGCGACGCCGCCUGUCACGUGUGAGUGAUUCUGAUUUUGUGUGUAUGUGUGUGAUUCUCCAGAGAGAGAGAGAGAGAUGAAUUGGGGGCAAUCGCGUGAAAGAAAAAUAAACUUCAAGUCCAGCUACACUGACCGGAGCCCACCCCCUCACCCAUUUCCUUAAUUGAACAGUGAAUUAGGCUCAAGCCAAGCACUAAGUUCAGGCCUCCAGCUCUCUUUAAAUUACUUAUCAAACAC
This 1210-nucleotide long non-coding RNA is filed under the name Salvia miltiorrhiza (redroot sage). RNAcentral's name for it is "long non-coding RNA (SMIL_LNC000251)". The record is from RNAcentral. Lineage: Eukaryota; Viridiplantae; Streptophyta; Magnoliopsida; Lamiales; Lamiaceae.